CUUGACUGUAUCCUGGAAUUGGGUUCGGGCUUUUCUUGCGCGGCCUAGGUGGGAGGCUAUGAAGAUUUCCUUCCGGGGAAGUUGGAGCCAUCAGUGAGAGACCACUCUGGAGAGGCUAGAAUCCUAAUGGUGAUCCUUGAAUCAGGACACUUGACAGUUUCAGGUGGGCAGUUUUUCUGGGGCGGAAGCCUCAUAAAGGGUAACUGAGGCGCGCAAAGGUCCCCUCAGUCUGGACGGAAAUCAGACAACGAGUGUAAAGGCAAAAGGGGGCUUGACUGCAAGACCUACAAGUCGAGCAGGAGCGAAAGCUGGCCUUAGUGAUCCGACGGUGCCGCACGGAAGGGCCGUCGCUCAACGGAUAAAAGUUA
This 368-nucleotide ribosomal RNA is filed under the name uncultured organism. Its description in RNAcentral is "bacterial LSU rRNA". It matches the Rfam family "Bacterial large subunit ribosomal RNA", at positions 2099 to 2465 of the family's 2925-position model. The record is from RNAcentral.